CUACGGAGGAUCCGAGCGUUAUCCGGAUUUAUUGGGUUUAAAGGGUGCGCAGGCGGCCAUUUAAGUCAGCGGUUAAAUCGUGGGGCUCAACCCCAUUCUGCCGUUGAUACUGGGUGGCUUGAUUGCGGUCGAGGUUGGCGGAAUUCGUUGUGUAGCGGUGAAAUGCAUAGAUAUGACGAAGAACACCGAUUGCGUAGGCAGCUGACCAGACUGCAAAUGACGCUCAUGCACGAAAGUGCGGGGAUCGAACAGGAUUAGAUACCCUGGUAGUCCGCACAGUAAACGAUGAAUACUUGUUUUCGGCGAUAUAAUGUCGGAGGCAAAGCGAAAGCGAUAAGUAUUCCACCUGGGGAGUACGCCGGCAACGGUGAAACUCAAAGGAAUUGACGGGG
Molecule: ribosomal RNA, 392 nt
Filed under: uncultured bacterium
Lineage: Bacteria
Description: partial 16S ribosomal RNA
Rfam family: Bacterial small subunit ribosomal RNA
Source: RNAcentral